CUCAUACUUCCUCCGUCCAUCAAAGGAUGUCUCAACUUUGAUUAAAUUUGAAUGUAUCUAUACACUAAUCAUGUCUAGAUGCAUCCAGAUUUUGACAAACUUGAGAUAUCUUUUGUUGGUCGGAGGGAGUAGUUA
Non-coding RNA from Brachypodium distachyon (stiff brome), 135 nucleotides. NCBI's taxonomy places the organism in Eukaryota, Viridiplantae, Streptophyta, Magnoliopsida, Poales, Poaceae. The record is from Rfam.